Molecule: long non-coding RNA, 287 nt
Organism: Megalobrama amblycephala (Wuchang bream)
Lineage: Eukaryota; Metazoa; Chordata; Actinopteri; Cypriniformes; Xenocyprididae
Exons: 2
Source: RefSeq, a predicted model, not a curated record
AACCUCCGUCAGUCAGAGUCACAGUGAUUUGUGCUAGAAACACUGAAUAAGUUCAUUCACAAAUAUGAGGGCUGCAGCAGAUGAGAAGAUUUGAAGUCAAUAACAUCAUUUUAGAGCUUCAGACGACUGAGAAUAUCGAGCACAGAUACCCUGAAGACAUCAAACAAGUGAUCAACAGAAUUUGGAUUCAUCAGAUUGUUGAGAAGAUAUAGUUUUAUAAGUGUAUUGAGCCAUGGCUAAAUGAACUAUCUUCUAAACGCUUUGACUAAUUAAAAUCCUUUUGAUAA